UCCGUAGGUGAACCUGCGGAAGGAUCAUUACCGAGUGCGGGCCCCUCGGGGCCCAACCUCCCACCCGUGUUGCCCGAACCUAUGUUGCCUCGGCGGGCCCCGCGCCCGCCGACGGCCCCCCUGAACGCUGUCUGAAGUUGCAGUCUGAGACCUAUAACGAAAUUAGUUAAAACUUUCAACAACGGAUCUCUUGGUUCCGGCAUCGAUGAAGAACGCAGCGAAAUGCGAUAACUAAUGUGAAUUGCAGAAUUCAGUGAAUCAUCGAGUCUUUGAACGCACAUUGCGCCCUCUGGUAUUCCGGAGGGCAUGCCUGUCCGAGCGUCAUUGCUGCCCUCAAGCCCGGCUUGUGUGUUGGGCCCCGUCCCCCCCGCCGGGGGGACGGGCCCGAAAGGCAGCGGCGGCACCGCGUCCGGUCCUCGAGCGUAUGGGGCUUCGUCACCCGCUCUAGUAGGCCCGGCCGGCGCCAGCCGACCCCCAACCUUUAAUUAUCUCAGGUUGACCUCGGAUCAGUAGGUAUACCCGCUGAACUUAAGCAUAUCAAUAAGCGGAGGAA
Molecule: ribosomal RNA, 553 nt
Filed under: Penicillium citrinum
Lineage: Eukaryota; Fungi; Ascomycota; Eurotiomycetes; Eurotiales; Aspergillaceae
Description: eukaryotic LSU rRNA
Rfam family: 5.8S ribosomal RNA (bases 171-324)
Source: RNAcentral